CCUACGGGAGGCAGCAAUCGAGAAUCAUUCACAAUGGGGGAAACCCUUAUUUUUCUACUCCUCUUUUUUUAAUUCAUUUCUUCUUCUUUUCAACCCCUGUCAUGUGGGAGCAAAUUAAAAAGAUAGUACCACAAGAGGAAGAGACGGCUAACUCUGUGCCAGCAGCCGCGGUAAUACAGAGGUCUCAAGCGUUGUUCGGAAUCACUGGGCGUAAAGCGUGCGUAGGCUGUUUCGUAAGUCGUGUGUGAAAGGCGCGGGCUCAACCCGCGGACGGAACAUGAUACUGCGAGACUAGAGUAAUGGAGGGGGAACCGGAAUUCUCGGUGUAGCAGUGAAAUGCGUAGAUAUCGAGAGGAACACUCGUGGCGAAGGCGGGUUCCUGGACAUUAACUGACGCUGAGGCACGAAGGCCAGGGGAGCGAAAGGGAUUAGAUACCCUGGUAGUC
RNAcentral lists this ribosomal RNA (446 nucleotides) under uncultured bacterium. Its description in RNAcentral is "partial 16S ribosomal RNA". It matches the Rfam family "Bacterial small subunit ribosomal RNA", at positions 338 to 795 of the family's 1533-position model. The record is from RNAcentral.